This 302-nucleotide ribosomal RNA is filed under the name uncultured bacterium. RNAcentral's name for it is "bacterial SSU rRNA". It matches the Rfam family "Bacterial small subunit ribosomal RNA", at positions 28 to 339 of the family's 1533-position model. The record is from RNAcentral.
GAUGAACGCUAGCGGCAGGCUUAAUACAUGCAAGUCGGACGGGAUUGGGGCUUCGGCCCCAUGAGAGUGGCGCACGGGUGCGUAACACGUAUGUAACCUACCUUUAUCUGGGGGAUAGCCUCUCGAAAGAGAGAUUAACACCGCAUAAAAUCACAGCACGGCAUUGUGCAAUGAUCAAAUAUUUAUAGGAUAAAGAUGGGCAUGCGGAACAUUAGCUAGUUGGCGGGUAACGCCACAGCUACGAUGUUAGGGAUCUGAGAGGAUCGACCCCCACACUGGUACUGAGACACGGACCAGACUCC